Molecule: small nucleolar RNA, 125 nt
Organism: Nannospalax galili (Upper Galilee mountains blind mole rat)
Lineage: Eukaryota; Metazoa; Chordata; Mammalia; Rodentia; Spalacidae
Source: Ensembl
AUUGGGGCUAGAGUCACGCUUGGAUAUUAGCUAUUGCUUUAGUGUGCUAGAGUCCUUGAAGAAUAACUGCUGACCUUAUUCACUGAUGUGGGCCUCAUGGCACAGUCACUAGAUUAGUGACAUAA